This 1012-nucleotide ribosomal RNA is filed under the name Campylobacter jejuni. Its description in RNAcentral is "partial 23S ribosomal RNA". It matches the Rfam family "Bacterial large subunit ribosomal RNA", at positions 1 to 1030 of the family's 2925-position model. The record is from RNAcentral. Lineage: Bacteria; Pseudomonadati; Campylobacterota; Epsilonproteobacteria; Campylobacterales; Campylobacteraceae.
AAAGGUAAGCUACUAAGAGCGAAUGGUGGAUGCCUUGACUGGUAAAGGCGAUGAAGGACGUACUAGACUGCGAUAAGCUACGGGGAGCUGUCAAGAAGCUUUGAUCCGUAGAUUUCCGAAUGGGGCAACCCAAUGUAUAGAGAUAUACAUUACCUAUAUAGGAGCGAACGAGGGGAAUUGAAACAUCUUAGUACCCUCAGGAAAAGAAAUCAAUAGAGAUUGCGUCAGUAGCGGCGAGCGAAAGCGCAAGAGGGCAAACCCAGUGCUUGCACUGGGGGUUGUAGGACUGCAAUGUGCAAGAGCUGAGUUUAGCAGAACAUUCUGGAAAGUAUAGCCAUAGAGGGUGAUAGUCCCGUAUGCGAAAAACAAACCUUAGCUAGCAGUAUCCUGAGUAGGGCGGGACACGAGGAAUCCUGUCUGAAUCCGGGUCGACCACGAUCCAACCCUAAAUACUAAUACCAGAUCGAUAGUGCACAAGUACCGUGAGGGAAAGGUGAAAAGAACUGAGGUGAUCAGAGUGAAAUAGAACCUGAAACCAUUUGCUUACAAUCAUUCAGAGCCCUAUGUAGCAAUACAGGGUGAUGGACUGCCUUUUGCAUAAUGAGCCUGCGAGUUGUGGUGUCUGGCAAGGUUAAGCAAACGCGAAGCCGUAGCGAAAGCGAGUCUGAAUAGGGCGCUUAGUCAGAUGCUGCAGACCCGAAACGAAGUGAUCUAUCCAUGAGCAAGUUGAAGCUAGUGUAAGAACUAGUGGAGGACUGAACCCAUAGGCGUUGAAAAGCCCCGGGAUGACUUGUGGAUAGGGGUGAAAGGCCAAUCAAACUUCGUGAUAGCUGGUUCUCUCCGAAAUAUAUUUAGGUAUAGCGUUGUGUCGUAAUAUAAGGGGGUAGAGCACUGAAUGGGCUAGGGCAUACACCAAUGUACCAAACCCUAUCAAACUCCGAAUACCUUAUAUGUAAUCACAGCAGUCAGGCGGCGAGUGAUAAAAUCCGUCGUCAAGAGGGAAACAACCCAG